UACGUAGGGAGCAAGCGUUGUCCGGAAUCAUUGGGCGUAAAGAGCGCGUAGGCGGCCGUGUAAGUCCGUUCUGAAAGUCGGAGGCUCAACCUCCGAAAGCGGAUGGAUACUGCACGGCUAGAGUCCGGAAGAGGCGAGUGGAAUUCCUGGUGUAGCGGUGGAAUGCGCAGAUAUCAGGAGGAACACCAACGGCGAAGGCAGCUCGCUGGGACGGUACUGACGCUGAGGCGCGAAAGCGUGGGGAGCAAACAGG
Molecule: ribosomal RNA, 253 nt
Filed under: uncultured bacterium
Lineage: Bacteria
Description: partial 16S ribosomal RNA
Rfam family: Bacterial small subunit ribosomal RNA
Source: RNAcentral